This is a long non-coding RNA of Esox lucius (northern pike), 1181 nucleotides long. RefSeq lists it as uncharacterized. The transcript has 3 exons. The record is from RefSeq and is a predicted model, not a curated record. NCBI's taxonomy places the organism in Eukaryota, Metazoa, Chordata, Actinopteri, Esociformes, Esocidae.
UGCUGCCGUGAGCACACAUACACAUGUUCACUUUUGUCAUACUCUGCAUAUUGCAAACAAGUUCUCUGAAGUCUUUCUCUACUCUCAGGCGGACCACUCUCUGUUCAUUAGGCUUGGUUUCCUAUACCUUCACAGAACUAUCUUGGCUAGGUCACUGGGGCCGGACUUCAGUUAUUGAGAGCAAACGGUGGCCCAUGAAUCCUUCUUAACACUGCUGGUGACCUUGUAAGUGGGAAAGUGAGUAUAGUUGCUGUGACAGAGGUGCUGCGCUAGUCUGACGGUAGAAGGAGAUACCUCCGCAUCGGCAUGCUACACUCUGGGAGAGAGGGAUAACAAGGGCUGAAAUUAAACUCCCUUGGAUAUAUUUCGGCCCACACUCUUGGGUCCCCGGGUCUGCGGAGGCUAUGUAAGAGACAGAUGGGACAUGAAAUGCCUCUGUACAAGAGGGUACUACCCAAUGUUGGAGUGAUAUUGGAACAAUCUGAGCUGCGUUGACUGCGUUUUAUGAACUGUAGUGGGAACACGUCUGUUACAUCAGCAUCCAAACAAUCCCCCGAACGUUUGAGAACCUUCUAGAAGCCACCAGUAGGGGCAGCCCUGUCCCUGCCUAGCUUGCAACUCAUUGGGACUUUGUCAAUGAAGGUAUUAAGAGACUCCUGCAGGCGAGGGGAAGACAUGAAAGAAAAGCUGCAGAGCCAGAGAAGUUGGCUCAAAUAUGGAGCUGGAGAGGAGGAAGCGGCAGCAACUGAGGGCAGUAGGAGGGCAGCUCUUUCUGCUCUCACGUGGCAGAGCCCCAGCAAGAUGGGACCCCAGGAUGGAGAGAGAAGACCUCUGAAAGAAGGGUGGAGAAGCCUCAGAGACAGCAACCACCGGAGCCCAUAGCUCCCAAACCGCCACCGGGAGGCCGCCACACAUACAACGCUGCCUCCCCCUCACAGCUGUUUGUUUUCCAUUGAUUUUCUCCCUCACCUCUUCCCCUUCCACUUCUCUUUUGUUGACUAAAACACCCACUAGGGCCGUAGAACACACGCUCUGUGUAUAUUCCCUGUGGCCUAACCCUUUACAGAACAAUUAGGUAGAAAUAUACUUUUGUAAUACAAAUAUGCCUUACUAAGUAGAAAGGGAAUCACAUUUGUUCUGUUUUUUUAAUUUCUAGCUGCAACAUUUGAGAACGUUGUUGU